Molecule: long non-coding RNA, 788 nt
Organism: Amphibalanus amphitrite
Lineage: Eukaryota; Metazoa; Arthropoda; Thecostraca; Balanomorpha; Balanidae
Exons: 2
Source: RefSeq, a predicted model, not a curated record
AAUGUAAAAUAUUGGGGGACACGUCCCCCGUACCCCCCCCCCCCCCCGGUGGUGGAGCCCAUGGUCUUAAUUCCGCUCGCUGAACCGUUUAAGAUUCUUUUGUCUCGUUUGUGCUUAUUAUUUUUCCGACUGUUAUUAUUUUUUCCGACUGUUUUUUAAUGCCUACACACAUAUUUAUUUUCGUACACUAUUCGAUUUCAGCAAGCAUUUUCAACCUUUCUUACAGUUCUGGCGCGAGUUCGACCGGGUGGUGAGUUGCUCAGCCGGCUCGAAGCCGGCACUAACCACUACGAGGCCUCGAUGCAGCGGCUGAAAUCAUGGCUAAGCCGAGCUCAGGCGGCAUGCUUCAGCACAAAAGGGAACGGCCCAUUGAGCCUCCUCUGCAUCUUGGCGGAGAAGGCGUGAGUGGUGGCGUACACGGGUGACGAAAAUUUGGAUCACCCCCAUCAUAACAAGUCCGAAGGAAACGAACGGUGCCGGCUCAUCGUGGAGCGAACGGAAGUCUUGUGGGGGUUCAUGGUUUGGAAGGUAGUCUUUUGCUGUUGGCGACGGCGCACUUUGUGCUCAAUCAACAAACGGCGCACAAAGUGCGAAACACGCUGUGGUUUGUGUGUACCUAUCCAUGUGCUCCACACACCAUUCAAUGCUGAGCGCCAGCCAUCUGUAGCCGCGAAGACAGGUCGAGAAGCUGGCAAAAGAGUGAAGCUGAGCUGACGUGGAGUCGAUCCCUCCCCCGACGCAGUUUGGUGUGUGUCAGAAUUGAAAUACAGCGCAAUGCGACCGUUUCU